This is a small nucleolar RNA of Lycium barbarum (goji berry), 107 nucleotides long. Lineage: Eukaryota; Viridiplantae; Streptophyta; Magnoliopsida; Solanales; Solanaceae. The record is from RefSeq and is a predicted model, not a curated record.
UGAUAGUGGUUAGGACAAUCUCUGAGAAGACCCUUGAACCUUUCCCAUGCCUGAUAUAGAUUCUCACCAUCUUUCUGCUUGAAUGAUAUGAUUUCUUUCCUGAGUCU